GGAGAGGUGGCUGAGUGGCCGAAAGCGCCGGUUUGCUAAAUCGGUGAGGGCCGAUAGGCUCUCCGCGGGUUCGAAUCCCGCCCUCUCCG
This 89-nucleotide transfer RNA is filed under the name Planctomycetota bacterium. RNAcentral describes it as "tRNA-Ser". It matches the Rfam family "tRNA". From Rfam's summary of the family: Transfer RNA (tRNA) molecules are approximately 80 nucleotides in length. Their secondary structure includes four short double-helical elements and three loops (D, anti-codon, and T loops). The record is from RNAcentral. Lineage: Bacteria; Pseudomonadati; Planctomycetota. RNAcentral also lists the same sequence under 1 other name.